RNAcentral lists this transfer RNA (69 nucleotides) under Prosthiostomum siphunculus. RNAcentral describes it as "tRNA-Asn". The record is from RNAcentral. Lineage: Eukaryota; Metazoa; Platyhelminthes; Polycladida; Prosthiostomidae.
UAGAGGGUAGUAUAAAUAGUACGGAAAGCUGUUAACUUUUUAGUGUGAAUUGAAGAUUUGCCUCUUUAG